AUUACCGAAACAUAGUUUUAUGUGCCUUGGAAUUUUACCUGUAUGAAUGCCUUGAAUUUUACCUAUAGCAUUAUGUUGCCAUUCUUCCAGGUUUUCAUAUGCUAUGCUAUCAUUUGCUAGGAUUCUAGACAUGAAGUUAGAGUGAAAAAUCAUAUUAAUUAGGUCUGAAAAUAUGCUGUUGCCAUUAACCAAUAUGUUUUGUAUUGCAAACUUACAAUUUAUUUUUUGAUAUGUCUGUAAAUAAAUAUACUUGGACUGAACGUAAACAGAAAUCAGUCCUUAUAUUCGCCAGUUCCCAUUAGAGGGAAAAUAGCAAAAUAGCUUACAUAAAUACACAUAUGCAUGCAUGAUGCACUGGUUGAUUUUAUUUUAUAGGCGUAGAAACCUUCAAAGCCAAGGG
This 400-nucleotide long non-coding RNA is filed under the name Lathyrus oleraceus (garden pea). RNAcentral's name for it is "Pisum sativum (pea) long non-coding RNA (PSAT_LNC027648)". Lineage: Eukaryota; Viridiplantae; Streptophyta; Magnoliopsida; Fabales; Fabaceae. The record is from RNAcentral.